RNAcentral lists this ribosomal RNA (571 nucleotides) under uncultured bacterium. RNAcentral's name for it is "bacterial SSU rRNA". It matches the Rfam family "Bacterial small subunit ribosomal RNA", at positions 737 to 1308 of the family's 1533-position model. The record is from RNAcentral.
UCACUGACGCUGAGGCUCGAAAGCGUGGGUAGCGAACAGGAUUAGAUACCCUGGUAGUCCACGCCGUAAACGAUGAGUGCUAGGUGUUAGGCCCUNUCCGGGGCUUAGUGCCGGAGCUAACGCAAUAAGCACUCCGCCUGGGGAGUACGACCGCAAGGUUGAAACUCAAAGGAAUUGACGGGGGCCCGCACAAGCGGUGGAGCAUGUGGUUUAAUUCGAAGCAACGCGAAGAACCUUACCAGGUCUNGACAUCCCGAUGCUAUUCUUAGAGAUAGGAAGUUACUUCGGUACAUCGGAGACAGGUGGUGCAUGGUUGUCGUCAGCUCGUGUCGUGAGAUGUUGGGUUAAGUCCCGCAACGAGCGCAACCCUUAUUGUUAGUUGCCAUCAUUAAGUUGGGCACUCUAGCGAGACUGCCGGUAAUAAACCGGAGGAAGGUGGGGAUGACGUCAAAUCAUCAUGCCCCUUAUGACCUGGGCUACACACGUGCUACAAUGGUCGGUACAACGAGUUGCGAGCCGGUGACGGCAAGCUAAUCUCUGAAAGCCGAUCUCAGUUCGGAUUGGAGGCUGC